Molecule: long non-coding RNA, 462 nt
Organism: Anthonomus grandis grandis
Lineage: Eukaryota; Metazoa; Arthropoda; Insecta; Coleoptera; Curculionidae
Exons: 2
Source: RefSeq, a predicted model, not a curated record
CUGUUAGGUUAGCGAUCAUAUAGUUGAAUCAAAUAUUAUUAAUUAAUUUUAAAAAUUGUAAAAAAGAAAGACCUAUUAUAGCAAACCUUCCAGCACCAAUAAUAAUAACAACUGCAUAAUAAUAAAAAAGUUACAUCCAAAUAAAUAAACCAUCAACAAUUUUCAUGUUAGGUCGACUUGUGUCGGUACAACACACUAAGCAAAGCACAUGCACAGAUAAGAACAAUACUGUAUUAAAAAAUUCUUACCUCAUCGGUAACUUGUCCAGCUUUAAACUGUAAUUCUUGCAAUUCAGAUCUGGGGGCACCAUUCUCUGCUGGAGCUGGGGCAGGCAUUGUUCUAAAAUAAUUUUUUUUAAUAUAACAACUAAAUUUAAAAAAAAUAAAACAAAUCUUUUUAUCAAUCAAACUACUGUAAGUUCUUAAUAUUAUGAUUUGCAAUAAAAAAAAACAAUAAUAAUAA